AGGAUCGCUACAAGAUCAAGGAAAAGCAAAGUUCUGAGAACGCCUUGAAGUUCAGCACCUGAAACUAAUGGAGAACAAAUUAUGAAUUACGGACAGAGAAGAAACCACCAAACCAGGCACAUUCCUAUCCUUCUUCCUGAAAGCUCCAUGAAUCUGUUCCAUUUAAUGUGAAUAUUCAGCACAAGUACAAAGACACAUCACUUCCAUAUGAAACUACAUGACCCAGCUAUAUAUAAAUAGUCGUCUUAUUGAGAAGAGUUAUCAGCACACCAUGUCAGACUGGUCAGACAACAACCCUAAUUCUUCAAGGUGCUCUUCAUGAUCCAGUUCAAACAGAAAUCUGUUUAUGAGUGGCUGUGUGAAGAGAGAGUAUUAUUUUAACAUUAAAAAGCCUGCAAAGCUGAAGAAAAGAGAAAA
Molecule: long non-coding RNA, 417 nt
Organism: Gymnogyps californianus (California condor)
Lineage: Eukaryota; Metazoa; Chordata; Aves; Accipitriformes; Cathartidae
Exons: 3
Source: RefSeq, a predicted model, not a curated record